GAUGAUGGAGGCAAUUGCGGGGGUGGUACAGUUGGGACCUCCCCCUCUGGCUCCAAAUCUCCAUCUAGCGCAUACUCACAUGAAUCACUCGAGGAAUCUGCAUCACCCUCACCAUGUGUCCCAACAUUCUCAACUGCUGUUUCACCACUCAAAUCAGUCAAUACGGAUGUUUCAACCCUGUCCACCUCAUUUUUCAAACCAACUACUUCCUUCUCCCAAUUCUUCUUAUUC
RNAcentral lists this unclassified non-coding RNA (231 nucleotides) under Hevea brasiliensis (rubber tree). The record is from RNAcentral. Lineage: Eukaryota; Viridiplantae; Streptophyta; Magnoliopsida; Malpighiales; Euphorbiaceae.